CGCUGCAGUGCACGGAACCACCCCUGAGGCGACACCCGGCUCAGGCCGUGUCACGGCUGUGACCACUUAAGCACCUGGUCGGUUUUUCUAAAAAACUUCCGCUAAGAGGAAAGAGAAUCUUUGAAGCUCUUUUCAUCUGAUUUUUGGUGUCUUUCCUGCUUCCUCCUGUCCCCCCGCUCCUCUGUACUAUCUGUCUGGGAAUGUAUCUAAUCCAUAUUUCAUGCUGACUUUCUGAGAACUAUUCAGAAUGCAGUGAACAAUAAAGAUGGAAAUAAAGGCCUGCAAUAAAUGUCAGUCCCUAC
Non-coding RNA from Zonotrichia albicollis (white-throated sparrow), 302 nucleotides. Lineage: Eukaryota; Metazoa; Chordata; Aves; Passeriformes; Passerellidae. The record is from RefSeq and is a predicted model, not a curated record.